GAUGAAGAACGCAGCGAAAUGCGAUACUUGGUGUGAAUUGCAGAAUCCCGUGAACCAUCGAGUCUUUGAACGCAAGUUGCGCCCGAAGCCAUUAGGCCGAGGCACGCCUGCCUGGGCGUCACACGUCGUUGCCCCCCCAUCUACUCCUUCGGGAUUGCGGGGGGCGGAUGAUGGCCUCCCGUGCGCCUCGUCGCGCGGUUGGCAUAAAUACCAAGUCCUCGGCGACGCACGCCACGACAAUCGGUGGUUGCGAAACCUCGGUUGCCCGUCGUGUGCGGUCGUCGCGCAUCGAGGGCUCGAAAAAAUUGCCGGGCUCCGGCUCGGCUUUCAACGCGACCCCAGGUCAGGCGGGGUUACCCGCUGAAUUUAAGCAUAUCAAUAAGCGGAGGA
This 390-nucleotide unclassified non-coding RNA is filed under the name soil metagenome. RNAcentral's name for it is "partial contains 5.8S ribosomal RNA, internal transcribed spacer 2, and large subunit ribosomal RNA". The stretch from base 1 to 121 matches the Rfam family "5.8S ribosomal RNA", at positions 35 to 154 of the family's 154-position model. The record is from RNAcentral.